This 144-nucleotide small RNA is filed under the name Pseudomonas soli. RNAcentral describes it as "Pseudomonas sRNA P14". It matches the Rfam family "Pseudomonas sRNA P14". Lineage: Bacteria; Pseudomonadati; Pseudomonadota; Gammaproteobacteria; Pseudomonadales; Pseudomonadaceae. The record is from RNAcentral.
CUGGUGCAGGUUUUCACAGUUUGUUUACAAAACCGCCGCUGCAGCCCUCGGCAGCAUUUUUUUUGCAGUUCUUGCGCUCAGUCAGUUUACUUACUACAAGUAAUGGGUACUAUGUACGCCGGCCAGUUUCUCUUUUCCGAGAGA